Molecule: long non-coding RNA, 2118 nt
Organism: Bacillus rossius redtenbacheri
Lineage: Eukaryota; Metazoa; Arthropoda; Insecta; Phasmatodea; Bacillidae
Exons: 3
Source: RefSeq, a predicted model, not a curated record
AUGCCCAUUUCCUUAGCAGUUUUCAUGUUAUUUUUAUGCUAGCGCGCCUGCUCCCGUGUGGGUAACUUUCCAGCACCCUUCCAAGGGGUCUGGCUAUGGGUAUAAAAGUUUUCAUACCCAAAGUCUUAGCCAAAACCGUAAUAGAACGUGUCCUAUUUUUCUGCUACGAAAUCUGUUGUUGAAUUACCCAUGAUCCUCCUCAACCAAUCAUAGCUGCGUAUAUUGGUCACGUGUCCUUCCGGGUUUUCAAAAUAAAGUAACUAUCAACAUGGCGGCCAAGUGGUGUGUGGAACAUGUGGAAUGUUUGAUUGAAAAUUAUGAGAAAUACCCUUGUCUCUACAACGUGAAAAGCCCCAUAUAUCAUAAUAAACACGCAAGAAAUGAAGCGCUGGCAGCUAUAGCAAGUGCUGUGUCAGAGUUGAGGCCUGGGACUUCUGUCGACGAAGUGAAGAAUAAGUUUGCAAAACUGCGAUCUCACUUCGUCGCUGAAUUCAGCAAGAAGAAAACCUCAGAGAAGAGUGGGACCGGUACUGAUGAGAUUUAUGAACCAAAUUUUUGGUAUUAUAAGAAACUCUUUUUUCUUAUAAACCACAUUGUUCCGAGGAAGGGUGUGGAAACAAAGUUAAAAGUUGCACCUGCAUCGAGGGUGUGGGAGCCUUUAGUGGUUUAUGAUGAAGAUCAGUCGCUUUCAGAAGCACCCAAUGAAAGCCAGGAUUCAACGACAUCAAACCAGGCUAUUUCACUGUCAUGUCAGUCUCGGGCACAUAUAGCCGAGGGACAGCCCGGGCCCUCUGCAGAGCUGUGCAAGACCAUGGAACAGCCCCCCGUCACAGGACAUACAGGGACUUCAGCCUCAUUAGACAGUGUUGCGUGUACACCAAAAUCGCAUAAAAAACAAAAAAUUUCUACACCUUCUGAGGAUGGGUACACGGCAGUCCUCAACAGUGUUGUCGACGAACUCAAAAAGGAACCACCACGCCUCACGGUAAAUGAGCGCUUUGGCCAGUGGUUAGGUUGUGCGUUAGACAGCAUAAAAGAUCGGGGUGUCUGCAUGGCAGCCAAACAUGACAUAAUGAGAAUAAUUAUGGGAGCUGAAUUGGAUGACUCCCAUACAUCUAAUUUGCUCAAAUGAUGUUACAUCAAGCUUAUGUGUUUUUCUUUGUAUUUGCGUACCUUUUUUCUGUAAAUUUGUAAAUUGUAAAAUAAAAAUGUUACUUAUUAACUUGUAAAAUAAAAAUUAUACUUUUUUCUUAUAGUAGUUACGAAUUUUAAGAGACAGGUUUCAAAUUUUUAGUUCCUGCAUGCGUAUGUGUGCAAGAUUGUAUGUAAAUAGUGUUAUUCAUACUAAAUACAAAAAAAAAAUUAUAUUUCAUUUGGGUAAUUUACCUACUUAACUGAAUAAUAAUCAUUACUGGGCAUAAAUUGAGGUGAUCAUUCAUAUAAAAAAGCAAUGGUUUUAUUUUGUAACAUAAAAAGCCAAAUACUUAAUAUAUGUAGGUUUUUGUUUAUGUUUUAGAUACUAUCAAUCAUAUUCACACCACUACAUAUUUGUGCUCGUAGAAAAUUUUCUGUUUGGAGAACAUUAAACUAUCUCUGUUUAUAUAAUGAAAGUAUUUUCUGUUUUGGUAUUGAAUUUUCCAGCCCAUUGUUUGGCUUUUAUAUUUCCCUCAAUAUAUGAUCCAAGAAUACAACCACUGGGGUCAAAUUGUUUAAUGUAUUAAAUUAUUUAUAUUUAUCCUUCUGCAAUCAAUAAUCCUGUUAAACAGCUAACAAAAUAAUAAGUAUGGAUACUACAAUUAUUUAUAUUUUCAAAUAAGUGUUAAAAUAUUAUAUGCUCUCAGUUACAAAACAUAUUGUUAUUAACAAAAUAAAAGCUGGAUACUUAAUCCUGCAACAUUUAAUGCCUGGCAGAUAAAUUUAAUAUAUAAAAAUCAACGCUUGUUUGUUAGUGUUUUAUGUGCUACCAUCUCUUUAAUCCGAUUGCAAUAAACAUGUGUCAACAGAAUGCUUGCAUUUGUUGAAGGUUAUAGGGACAGUACAAAUAUUACAUAUCAUAGGAUUUCAUAUAAUGUAUUCAUUAUUGACAAGAAAAUAAAUAUUUUAUCAUUCCUAGUUAAA